AUGAACGCUGGCGGCGUGCCUAAUACAUGCACGUCGAGCGAACAGACGAGGAGCUUGCUCCUCUGACGUUAGCGGCGGACGGGUGAGUAACACGUGGAUAACCUACCUAUAAGACUGGGAUAACUUCGGGAAACCGGAGCUAAUACCGGAUAAUAUAUUGAACCGCAUGGUUCAAUAGUGAAAGACGGUUUUGCUGUCACUUAUAGAUGGAUCCGCGCCGCAUUAGCUAGUUGGUAAGGUAACGGCUUACCAAGGCAACGAUGCGUAGCCGACCUGAGAGGGUGAUCGGCCACACUGGAACUGAGACACGGUCCAGACUCCUACGGGAGGCAGCAGUAGGGAAUCUUCCGCAAUGGGCGAAAGCCUGACGGAGCAACGCCGCGUGAGUGAUGAAGGUCUUCGGAUCGUAAAACUCUGUUAUUAGGGAAGAACAAAUGUGCAAGUAACUAUGCACGUCUUGACGGUACCUAAUCAGAAAGCCACGGCUAACUACGUG
This 496-nucleotide ribosomal RNA is filed under the name uncultured bacterium. RNAcentral describes it as "partial 16S ribosomal RNA". It matches the Rfam family "Bacterial small subunit ribosomal RNA", at positions 29 to 507 of the family's 1533-position model. The record is from RNAcentral.